AACCAUGGAAAAGAAAGGAAAUAAGAGCUAAAAUUGGUGUAAAUACACUGAUAGAUAAUAUGCUUUCAUUGCCUGAAAGAAAUUGGGAUCCAUCUGUAAAAAAUCUACAGUAUUAAAAAAACAAACCCUAACUUUACGAUGAAGCUUUCCCCCUCACAAAUUUCAGAUUAUACCAUUUUCUCAGUUUUCUUCUCUGUAACAUCCAUGGCCCUGAGUAUUAUGCCUUGCAUUUGGCAUUGAGAGGUGAGCAUCAAGUUCAAACCCUGACUAUGUUCCAUUGCUUUACGAUCAGUGAGCAACUAAAUCAAAAAGUAAAUUCUUCUGCAGAAAAGUUAAAAGGAUCGAACCCUAGCCUGGAAUCCUCCCUUUCCACUUUGUUUUUUACUGUAUAUUCAAGGCAGUUACAGCACAGGAAAGAAGCAUCGAUCCGUGGAUUUCUUACUUUCUAUUGAAGACCCUAAGACCAGAGAGCAACUAAAUCAAAAAGUAAAUUCUUCUGCAGGAAAGUUAAAAGGAUCGAACCCUAGCCUGGAAGCCGCCCUUUCCACUUUGUUUUUUACUGUAAAUUCAAGGCAGUUACAGCACAGGAAAGCAGCAUCGAUCCAUGGAUUUCUUACUUUCUAUUGAAGACCCUAAGAUCAGAGAGCUACUGAACGAGACUGUUACUGACCACAUCCAAUUUCAAAACCCUCAGUGGAAAGGGGGAAUAAACACUAAAAAGGCCAUGAAAUUACGGAAUUUGAAAUGACUAUUUUAUUCAGGGAUCUGAGUGUUCUUCAGAUGAAAAAGAGGUGCGAGGAGAGGUUUCAGGACGUGCGCCUCCACCUCCAUUAGGGCUUCCACCACUUCCAUUAUUUGAGGCCGUUGGGAUCAGAGAGUUGACAAUGGAAGCGAAGAUCUUUGCCUUGAUUUGGCCUCUCCUCGGUGGAGGGUUUCUCCUAAAUUUUGCUUUACUAUCCUCUACAGAUUGAAGUGUCAUUUCUAGGAAUAUUUGGGUAAAAAAACUUCACACAGAGAGACUUAAGAGUGAGAGAAACAGAGAGUUGCAGACGAAUGAUAGAUAGAGUUUGUGUGAGAGAGAGAGAGUUGCAGAGGAAUGAGAGAGUUCAGGAGGAGAGAGUCGCAGAGAAAUAAUAGUUUUGAAAGAGAGAGAGCGCGUUGCAGAAGAGCGAAAGUGAGUCUUGCUGAGGAGUGAGGGAAUUUUGCAGAGACAGAGAGGGACUUGCAGAAAGGGAGAAUUAUGCAGAGAGAAGUUUGAGCGGAAAGAUGAGGUUUUAGAGAGAGAGAGAGAGAGAGAGGCUUUGCAGUUGGGAGGGUGAGGAUUUUGGAGAGAGAGAGUGAGAGUACGUAAGGCUGGUUUAACUGGAGGAGUGCAAGGAAUGGAAGUAUUUAUAGGGAUUGGGAGUUUGAGACUCA
RNAcentral lists this long non-coding RNA (1416 nucleotides) under Amborella trichopoda. Its description in RNAcentral is "long non-coding RNA (ATRI_LNC000472)". Lineage: Eukaryota; Viridiplantae; Streptophyta; Magnoliopsida; Amborellales; Amborellaceae. The record is from RNAcentral.